CAAUAUAAUAUUACAUUCUCAAUUGUCUCAGUUGACCCAGACUCCUACUUCUGUAUAUGUUCACUCUGCUGUAUUGUAACCCAACACAACGGAACCUAGAAACUGAGCUUGACCUUGCGCCCGCGCUAAUAAUCAAGAAUAAUUGAAUAUGGUCCAUGAUUGAAUGAUCUUAAACAAUUUUUGAUUAGGUAUUCAUUAUCUGGUUGUAAAUUGCUGCUGUUGUAUCUCCAAAACCACUACUUCACAGAAAGUUGAACACUGCCAAAGACCAGACCAUCCCCUGUUUUAUGUUUGCUCUGUCUGUCCUCUUCAAUUUCAUCUGUGACUCUUUCAUUAAGUAACGCUGUGCCUUUGACCUCAUUUGGUGAGUCUGCUGUGUUUCCACCUCUCUUUACUUUGCUUUGCCGACUUGUCAGCCAUUGACCAAAAGUCUCUAAGUUUUGUGCUCACCUGAUAAAUGCAAAGUCAAAAUAUCCUCAAUAUUGGUACUAGUUUUUUGCCGAACUCAAAAUGUCGAACUCAAAAAAAAACAAAAAAUACACUGGGGGAAAAAACAAGAGGAGACACUGGAGACGGACACAUCGACAUCGACAUCGACAUCCAUUCACACACAAUGAACCACAAGGAACAGGGGAAGGCAGGGACUAUAUAUGCACACAGGGAAAUGAGCAACGAGAGGCAGGUGAGACACUGAGACACAGGUGCAGACAAUUACAAAGGAGGGGAAACUGAAGAAGUAAAAUAAGACUAGAAACACAAGGAUGAGCUACUACAAAAUAAAACAGGGAGAACUGAAACUGAUUAACAGAAUGAAACACUGAAAACAUGAGGGAAACGGGGUCAGACACAAACUAAAAACUCACAAGACAGGACGACAGGGAAACAGGAACAAUAGGUAACAGAAACACGAGGGAAAAUACAAAGAAAACACACUCCAGGGAAACACAAAACCAGGGAAAAAAACUAAAUAAACAGAACAUAUCAUGACACAAAUUGCUUUUUGCAGAUUGAAAUAAUGUGGCGUGUGGAUUCAGGUAUAUUGACUGACGUUUUUGAAUACCCAUGCAAAGAUUACACAAGAGCUGUUUUUACCACUUGAUGUCAAAGAUUAAUGAAACUAGAGCAUGUAGAUUUAGCAGUGAAACACUAAAGUCUUACUUCAAAAGUGAUUUGUUUAGAGACAAAGAAGUUUAUAAUGUUUAUUGUCGAUGUUACAGCAAGCUCUUCAGUUUUAGUUGUUGAUGUAAUCACAGUUCUUACGGUCAGACAUUGCUGAUUCAGGUUGGGAUCUGCAUAAAAUGUAACAAGAAAUAUUCAUCUCACAUGAGACAGAUCAAUACCUCUAUGAUUCACCUGGUGAUAAUUGAAGUUAUGAGAAAAGCUCAACAGCUUGGCCAACUCUGUAGCAGAAUAAAAACAUUGGGUACUCAGUUAUGCUUCCAAUCUUCUUGUGUUUUCUUUUUACCGCCCAGCUGUCUUUGCUGAUUGAUGAAUAGCUGCUCUCGCUCAUGUUUUCAUCAGGGGAAGCACCAAAAGGCAGAUUGCCAAGUUGAUGAGAGUUUCUCCUUGGUGGCCAAGGAAAGGUGUGUACAGGAGGAUUUUCUGGCCCAUCUCUUCUCUGAAUCCUGGAGUUUUUGGGGUUAAGUGUUAAGGUCCAUUUUGGCUGAAAUUGCUUGAGCUUUUGACCAAAUUUUUGCAGGUCGAAUCAGAAGGUCCAAUCCAAUGAAAGUGCUCUGUGAGAGGAAGCUUUGGAUAACAGUUUGAAGCAAAAGCAACUUUUUGGAUCUGUUUGAGUGUAGCGCUCAAAUACAACGGUAUGCACAGCGUGGAGGCUCCUUUGCAGCUAUGGUGCUUCAAGUAGCAGGACAAUAAAUUGAACCAUGAAAAGAAAAAUUCCGUCAUCGGUCAUGGGACAGCUGGAUCAUUUGUGGGAUCCAGUCUUGCAUAGAAAAAGCAGCCGUCUUUCAGCGGUCUUCUUUUGAAUGGAGCCAGUCUGGUGAGGGAGCAGGAGUGCCAAUGCAGUGGGCUACAGCAAAAGAAAAAAAAAAUCUGGGUUAGCCACCCAAAAAAUGGUGUGCGGCUCAGCAUUUGCUCAAUGGCAACAUGAUGUCAUCUGGAGAGACUCUGCUGUGGCUGAUCAAAUCCACGGAGGCACAUAUUCCUGGUGGCUUUUAUUACACUGUUUAAUUUGCAACCACUGAGGCAAGAUGAUAAAUUGUCUCUGUAAUAUAUUUCCAAAAGUGUACACCCUGAGUCAUAGUAACCUACUCUACAGCCAAAACACAAGAUUUUCUGCUGUUCUUGCUUUUUUUACGUCAUCGUGAUCUUCAUUUAUUUUAAGCAACAGAAAGUCAAAAACCUUUGAGGUUUCAAGUACCAUUUAACUCUGUUUAACAGACCAGCAUACAUAUUGAUUAUAUAGUUGACUUGCUUCCAUUACUGCACGGUUGAAUUCUCUAAGCUCAUCCUAUAAUCCCAUCUGUUAUUGCCUGAACACAAUACACCAAAUCCUCUUCUUCAGGACACCUGCAGCCUCAUGUUAUCUCCGUUUCUAGACAACUAGAUUUGGGAAGCAGAAAUGCAUUUGUGUCUUUUUAUAUCGCGAAGACAACGGCUUGAGUAUCACAGAUGAAUAAUAGAUGUUUUCCUCAACCUCAGAUGAUCGAGGGAAGCUUUUGUGUGCUCUAAAACCUUCCUAAACCAGAUUGAGUUUGGUCAAUUAAAAGCUUUUUCUUUGUACUAGCAGGUAGGAACACUGCUUCACCCCAAACCACUCACUGCAUGAAUUGGACUAACUGAGUGAGACCCUUUUUAAGGUUGCGCUUCUAUCUUUAGUUUGCUUUUUAUCUGUACAAAUAGCAAAUGAUUUUCUAAAGUGUAGCCUGAAAUAUGAAUCUAAUACUCUGCCUCAGUUAUUUACCUUGGACUUUUCAGGGUUUAGGCAUCAUUAAAGGUGAUUUUAUGACACUUGUUUAGAUCAUAUGCCCUCCUGCACUCUGCUGUCUUAUUAUGAGCCAGUCCUGCUGUGUAUUGAUUUACUGAGUGAUGUGAUAAUUACCCUAUAGCUCGCUUUUAGUCUGCCUCCUCAUGUGAAAAAGAUUAUGAUAGGAGUGUACAGCAUGUACAGAGCUGGAGUUUUUUGCGUUGCAGCUCUGACCUCUCCGUUCCCUGAAAGGAAACCGUGAGCUGAGCACAGCGGGGGGACGUGCAGCAUGAUAACAACUUCCCCCCCUAUAGGCUCUGAGUCUACACGUGUGAGCUGAGGCGAGGGGCUCCUGAAAUCCUCAACGGCUAAGACACAUUAUCAGACAUGCACGUAGCAAAAAUUAUUAUCCAGCGAAUGAAAUGUGGAGGAUUUGCAGGCCCAGAGAGCUGCUUCAGCUUAGAAGAUUAGUAAUCAUGUAUUUCUUGUCAGCUCCCCUGGAUUAUCCCUCCUCUCUUGUUAUCAUAUUUAUUUUAUUAUGGGCAUUUCAUUAAUGGCACAGCUCAGUCAUAAAUCCUGCAUCCUCUAAUAUAUGUUACUCUCAAUCAUCUCAGGUGCCUCAGCUGUAAAUGCUACCAAGUCAAAACUGUUAUUUCUUGGUUUUAGAGGAUCAAACACUUUCAAACAAAUCUCUGUUUGAUGAUUUAAACAGCAAAGUAGUGGUGCAAAAGCUGCACCUCUCUGAUAGAGAAAAAAUGGAGAUCUUAUGUUCUCUUUAGGUGUUGCCAGAGUCAAAGGUAAAGCUUUGUCGGUCUCCUCCUUUUCCCCAGCUGACAAGGAGGCUAGAAGAAGUGUGACCUUUUAACCUCUCGGUCUGUUCACAUAGAAAAAAGGCAGAAUGGGAAGCUGGUUUCCUUGCCGUCAAUUCAAAAGGUCCCAUUUCCUUCACAGCGGCGUGCGACUGAUGUUCACUUCAAUGCGGAGGGCCCUGCUUGACACAUACUCAGAAUAGAAGACGAAGAUUUACAGAUAGGGAUACCAUUCUGUGA
This is a non-coding RNA of Xyrichtys novacula (pearly razorfish), 3972 nucleotides long. The record is from the annotation of a GenBank genome assembly. Lineage: Eukaryota; Metazoa; Chordata; Actinopteri; Labriformes; Labridae.